UUUCUCACUCUAAAAAGAAACUCUUGCUCUAAAGGUUUUCUCUGUCUUCUCUCUAGAUACUCUGAACUUGGAACCAUAGGAAGUUGAUUCCGGUGCUGCCUAAGUGUCUGCGGAGUAGGGGGUUUCGUUUCUACCGAACAAUUUCUUGUUUCGAUCGGUUAUGUCAAGUUUCGCUCUGUGUGGAGGGUACUGUUAGGGAACUCCAGUAGGAUAUACUGCUCAUCUUCAAGAUGAGAGCAAAUGUUGUUGAGGAAAUACCUCUAGAGCAAGAGCUGGAGGAGAAUGAUGUUGCUGCACAAUCUACUUAGAAUUUAGAUAUUUUAAACUUUUGGAUAUUAAAUACUAUAAACUGUCUAAGUUUGAAAAUUCUGUAUUUUGCUUUGAAUGACUGUAAUUCCUUGUUUAAUAUCAAGUCAUACUCUAAUUGAUC
Vigna angularis (adzuki bean) is the source of this 430-nucleotide long non-coding RNA. RefSeq lists it as uncharacterized. The record is from RefSeq and is a predicted model, not a curated record. Lineage: Eukaryota; Viridiplantae; Streptophyta; Magnoliopsida; Fabales; Fabaceae. The transcript is spliced from 3 exons.